RNAcentral lists this ribosomal RNA (440 nucleotides) under uncultured bacterium. RNAcentral describes it as "partial 16S ribosomal RNA". It matches the Rfam family "Bacterial small subunit ribosomal RNA", at positions 338 to 795 of the family's 1533-position model. The record is from RNAcentral.
CCUACGGGCGGCUGCAGUAGGGAAUAUUGGUCAAUGGGGGAAACCCUGAAGCAGCAAAGCCGCGUGAAGGAUGAAGGUUUUAGGAGUGUAAAAUUCUUUUGAUAGAGGAGAUUAUGGCGGUAUCUAACGAAUAAGCAACGGCUAACUCCGUGCCAGCAGCCGCGGUAAUGCGGCGGGUGCAAGCGUUAUGCGGAAUCACUGGGCGUAAAGAGUGCGUAGGCGGGGUAAUAAGUCAGAUGUGAAAUCCUGUAGCUUAACUACAGAACUGCAUUGGAAACUGUUACUCUGGAGUGUGGGAGAGGUAGGUGGAAUUCUUGGUGUAGGGGUAAAAUCCGUAGAGAUCAAGAGGAAUACUCAUUGCGAAGGCGACCUGCUGGAACAUUACUGACGCUGAUGCACGAAAGCGUGGGGAGCAAACAGGAUUAGAUACCCCAGUAGUC